AACUGUAUGCUGUUUUGAAGGAAGAAAGGAAGGAAGGAAGGAAGGAAGGAAAGAAAGAAAGAAAGAAAGAAAGAAAGAAAGAAAGAAAGAAAAAGAAAGAAAGAAAAGAAAAGAAAGGAAGGAAGGAAGGAGGGAAGGAAGGAAGGAAGGAAAGAAGGAAAGAAGGGAAGGAAGGAAGGACUGCUACGUUUUAUUUAUGAGGUGACAGCUCUUGCUGACAAUGGCAGAGAAUAAAAUGCUUCCAGAGGAAAUAAGAGAUCCAGGUGUCUGCUUUUGGCUUAUGUGAUGUCAGCAUCAGAGGAUGGAGCUAAGUGCCCAGAAGGAAGAGCCAAAAGCUGAAAAAUACAAUGAACAAAGGAAUCACUCCCAGAAAACAGAACAGCCCUAACCCCUACACCUGGAGAAGGGGCUCAUUGAUAUGCUCCCAGGGGCCUUUCACAGUCUUGUACUCCUGAGCUCACAGCGCUGUGGAAGACACUCAGUCUACACUACUGCUGAAUGGUUCCCAACUGACAGCACCAACUACCGGCCAGGUGAUUUCUUACAAUCAACUGUUAUUGGUGACACUUUUACAUCAAUAUUUG
This 584-nucleotide long non-coding RNA is filed under the name Vulpes vulpes (red fox). RNAcentral's name for it is "lncRNA (ENSVVUG00000025714.1)". The record is from RNAcentral. Lineage: Eukaryota; Metazoa; Chordata; Mammalia; Carnivora; Canidae.